This 465-nucleotide ribosomal RNA is filed under the name Vreelandella stevensii. Its description in RNAcentral is "partial 16S ribosomal RNA". It matches the Rfam family "Bacterial small subunit ribosomal RNA", at positions 338 to 795 of the family's 1533-position model. Lineage: Bacteria; Pseudomonadati; Pseudomonadota; Gammaproteobacteria; Oceanospirillales; Halomonadaceae. The record is from RNAcentral.
CCUACGGGGGGCUGCAGUGGGGAAUAUUGGACAAUGGGCGAAAGCCUGAUCCAGCCAUGCCGCGUGUGUGAAGAAGGCCUUCGGGUUGUAAAGCACUUUCAGUGGGGAAGAAAGCCUUGGGGCUAAUACCCUCGAGGAAGGACAUCACCCACAGAAGAAGCACCGGCUAACUCCGUGCCAGCAGCCGCGGUAAUACGGAGGGUGCGAGCGUUAAUCGGAAUUACUGGGCGUAAAGCGCGCGUAGGCGGUCUGAUAAGCCGGUUGUGAAAGCCCCGGGCUCAACCUGGGAACGGCAUCCGGAACGGUCAGGCUAGAGUGCAGGAGAGGAAGGUAGAAUUCCCGGUGUAGCGGUGAAAUGCGUAGAGAUCGGGAGGAAUACCAGUGGCGAAGGCGGCCUUCUGGACUGACACUGACGCUGAGGUGCGAAAGCGUGGGUAGCAAACAGGAUUAGAUACCCUAGUAGUC